RNAcentral lists this ribosomal RNA (546 nucleotides) under uncultured bacterium. RNAcentral's name for it is "partial 16S ribosomal RNA". It matches the Rfam family "Bacterial small subunit ribosomal RNA", at positions 355 to 888 of the family's 1533-position model. The record is from RNAcentral.
UGGGGAAUUUUGGACAAUGGGCGAAAGCCUGAUCCAGCAAUGCCGCGUGUGUGAAGAAGGCCUUCGGGUUGUAAAGCACUUUUGUCCGGAAAGAAAUCCUUGGCUCUAAUACAGUCGGGGGAUGACGGUACCGGAAGAAUAAGCACCGGCUAACUACGUGCCAGCAGCCGCGGUAAUACGUAGGGUGCAAGCGUUAAUCGGAAUUACUGGGCGUAAAGCGUGCGCAGGCGGUUUGCUAAGACCGAUGUGAAAUCCCCGGGCUCAACCUGGGAACUGCAUUGGUGACUGGCAGGCUAGAGUAUGGCAGAGGGGGGUAGAAUUCCACGUGUAGCAGUGAAAUGCGUAGAGAUGUGGAGGAAUACCGAUGGCGAAGGCAGCCCCCUGGGCCAAAUACUGACGCUCAUGCACGAAAGCGUGGGGAGCAAACAGGAUUCAGAUACCCUGGUAGUCCACGCCCAUAAAACGAUGUCAACUAGUUGUUGGGGACUUCAAUUUCCUUAGUAACGUAGCUAACGCGUGAAGUUGACCGCCUGGGGAGUACGGUCG